UUUACUUCCUUGUAUAAUUUCUUCUCCCAUACGUAUAGCUUCUCCAAAGUAGAAGAAAGGUUAACGGGCCUAACAUCCAGAACCGCAUCAUCAUAGGAUCCUGCUAACUUUGUUACUCGAGAACUUGAUCUUGCCGAUUGUAUUGGACGGUCUGAAGAUACCAAUGAAGAACGGCAAACUUCGAUCGAUAAGGCAACUUCCCGGCCUCUAGCAUCAAAGCGACCUCCUUCCCAUGACUAAACGCGCUCUCGAAUUCGCCUUUGAUUUCAUUAACUACCUCAUGAAGAUCCCGAGAACCAUGAGGAGAUAACGUUGUCAAACUACUCAUAAUCGAGGACUCUAUUUCUAACUCCUGUGUAGACCCUUCAUCGAUAUCAACACUUACUCCCUUUUUACCCUCCUCUGUGCUUUGUGAAACAAUCGUUUCAGAGCUAUGCUGCUUCUCUACUUCGGUGCCAACCGAAUGUUCUCGUUUAACUUCCAAUGGUACGGAAUUUGAACUCGAUUCGGCUUGUGCUGCGUUUGCAGUGUCUUCACUUUUCUCCGGUGGUGUUCUGAUUCUUCGAGAACUACCCUCCGUACUACUUGAAGCUCCCUUCAAUGCACUAUCUUCACCGUCUUCUUUUCCUUCGACUAGAUUUCUCUUUCUACUAAACGUAUUCGUUUUUACGUCUUCGUAGUGAGAAUCGGUUUCUGUUUCUUCUUCCAAAUCGGGAAUCCCCUCCCUCGCUCUCACUUCACUCGCAUCCGGACUACUAUCCAUUGUUUCGUUAUACCCAUAUCCAUACCCAUGAUACUCAUUAUCAUACGCGUUAAAAAAGUUAAAAUAAUCAGAUUCCAUCGGCGGAGGAGGCGGCGGCGGCGGACUUUUG
RNAcentral lists this long non-coding RNA (872 nucleotides) under Helianthus annuus (common sunflower). Its description in RNAcentral is "hypothetical non coding rna". The record is from RNAcentral. Lineage: Eukaryota; Viridiplantae; Streptophyta; Magnoliopsida; Asterales; Asteraceae.